UCGAGUCGGACAGAGACAGCGCGAAAACAUCAACACCACCCGCCUCAGAGCCGCACAUCAGACGAGGUUCCGAACAAUUUUCAACGCCUUAGCGAACUCAGUUUGAUUUGUGUAAUCUAAUCGGAUACUAGAACUUUUCGGUUCUUCAAUAGCUUCGCUUCGCGUUUCGAGUACGUUUUCGAAAUUGUUUCGUAAGUUUGAUUAUUGUGGUUCGAUUUAUAGUUGAGGCGGUUUUAUUUGAUUCGUUCAAGCGGUCUAGGUCUCUAGGACUCCGGUUUCCGGUAGAAGAAAGUCAAUUUGUUAAAAAGACGUUAAGGUGUACAACAGUUGGAAUCAUUGUCCAACGUUGAGCUGGAAGGCGAACGAGUAUUCCUCCGAAGAAAAGUCCGAAGUGUUGACCCAAGAGGAUUCCUGAAGUGGAUGUUGGUGGGAAGGCGAAGAAAAAGGAAAGUGCAUCGUCGUCGUCGUCAACACCGCGUGGUGGGUGUGAAAGCAUAGUGAGAGUGCACCUUGUGCGUGUUGUUCAGUGCAUCUGUUGUUUGGCCAAGUGCAAUCGAGGCGAUAGUGCUGCAUCAAAAAGUGUCUCCAUCGGUAGCCGGAGGUUCUAAGCUUCUACGCGGAUCUAAUUGCUUGCUUUCAAGGUAGAGAAGAAGAGGAAAAAUCAAGAGAAAUAAAAGUGGCUGUGUCAAACGAAGCAAGUGCCGUGAGUCGUGAUAGUCCUGAAUUAGUUGUGGGCCUUGGAUAAGUGCCGAGCGUGACGCAGGACAGCCGGUAGACAGUCGGACAGACAGGCGGACAGCAGCAGGCAGGAAACACAUCCCACGAUGAGCGCUCAAGAACGACGAGCCUCUUUCGCCAGGCGGGCGGAAAGCUUGAUCGAGAGGGUGAGAAUACUGAAAACGAUUUAUGAGGUAUCACGUGACCAACGGUGAGAUUCUACGGCAGUGAGAGUGGUUUCUUUUUUAUGCGACUUUACCUGCUAUACCUGCAACUGUCCUUCGCAAAGUAGUGGAAGAUACACGCUCUUGUUCUUGUUCUCGGCAUGUGCUUCUUCCAAUGUUCAAAGUAGUCAACAAGUCACGUCAGUCUAUAAUUUACAUCAAGUCACUUUACACCUAUCCCAAUUCGAGAGCGGCUAGUUUCAAUUUACCCACGAAUAACACAUAGUAUCUUCCCUCUUAGUAGUUGCAGAAGUAAAGUUCAAUUCAACUGACCACUGCGACGUCGGUCCAGCCCUUUGCCCACUUUUGUUUAUUUAUUCACACAUUCUAUCAGUCUGUAGAUAGUUUCAUUUUCCUUAUUUUAUCCGACGGCGAUCACCGACAGGCCGAAUAAAUAUUUGGACAUGUUGGCCUCCAUCGAAGCUGACGAAACCUACGACACCCGUUUGUUAUUCCCCCUUGGUUGGCGUGUGUACCUUAUAAAGUUGUGCCUAAUCGUUUACAAUGCUUGAAUAAUCCUUUAGUAUUAAGUUUUAAGGAGUAAUGUGAUGCAUGAAAAUCAUGACAGUAUGUAUGCCUUUUUUAUAAAAUUUAUGUAAUGACAUAUUUUUUACAGUUUUCUUCCGAAAUAAUGGUAAUUAGCUUGACGAAUUUCUCUCGUGUACCUCAAUAAUUGAUUUGAAUAGGACACAUCGGUGAAGUACUAGAUUUGUAGUAAUGAGCUGAAUUUUAGUAGGUGAGAAGGUCAAUUCUCAGUUUCUGCAAUGAAAUGGUGCAAAAAGGGUGGGUAAAUCUCGUGUGCGUGUCUGCUCUGUUCGGUUCGGUUCUGAAUAUGAUGCAUGUUUUUUGAUAAACUACGUUGUUAACUUUGCAUUAUUAAAUCCGUUUUACGUCGUUCCUGUUACGUUGUGUGAAGUUUUUACACAUAGCAUACGAAUCAGAUCAUAAAAGUGUCUUGAAGCCUUAGUUGUUAGUGCUAAUAACACCUCCCACCAACGAACUAUCAAUCCACUCAGUUGUCGUCGCCAUCCUUUGUUCUUCGCAGUGUGGUUUCUGGUGUGCAGUUGAUAAUCGAAACUUAUAGGGUGCGUCAAAUUGCACGAGAAUGGAUCAUUGUUACGCGUGCAAGGUAGAAUUUCGUGUGGAGGAUAUCGUAGUGUCAUGUGACGUAUUCUGCGAAGAUCGACACCGAUUCCAUGCAAGAUGCGUUGGAUUGACAUAUGAUGAGGGUUGCGCAUGCUUAAAUAGCAAUAUUUUAUGGGUGUGUGAUUCUUGUAAGCACUCGAUCGAAUACGGACGCUAUAGAAGACCUCAACCUGAAUUGCAAGCAGGCGAAUUAGCAACGAAAAAUGACGUAAGUUGUUUGAAGACUGAGGUAGAACGUAUCAGCAAGAUCGUAUCUCAGUUGACACUGAAUGUUUCACUAUCGGCGGCAUCUGAUGAAUACGUGCCACAUCCUAAUGCUACGAGUACAGCAGUUUCGACUUCUUCGCCACUA
Long non-coding RNA from Aedes albopictus (Asian tiger mosquito), 2439 nucleotides. RefSeq lists it as uncharacterized. The transcript has 2 exons. The record is from RefSeq and is a predicted model, not a curated record. Lineage: Eukaryota; Metazoa; Arthropoda; Insecta; Diptera; Culicidae.